CCUUACCGCGGGCGCUCCCGCCUCCCCGCACCGAUAAAUGCCCGCUCGGCUCCCAAAGUUCCCAGCUGCAAAGUUCGCUCCGCUGACUGCCCCGCCGCCGGAGGAAGCUGGGGGACCCCUCUUGCCCUGGGACUUUUGCUCCCCGCCUUCCAGUCCCCCCUUGCGCGCUCCUCCAGGCGCGGGCCUGCGAAUCUUCCCAGAAACUAGCUGCUCGCCGCCGAGGGGAACAGGCUGCCCGCGAAGAUGUGGAAGGCGCGGGUGCUGCUGGUGGUUUUGGGGAGUGCAUUGCUCUGGGCUCCGGCAGGAGAAGCCACCACAGUCCUGCCAGAAGAUGACGCUACCACCGCAAGUAUGGAAAGUAGCAUGGUGAUCCCAGGUGUGGAUGAUAACACGAUGACCCCAAGUGCCAGUGAACAGUCCCAUAAGCCUGCUGGCUUCACCAGUCAGGUGCCCACAAAUACAAAGCGCACAGACACUCCCAUAGAGGAUCUGCCAACCACAGAGAGCACAGGCCAUGCCCAAGAGGAAACCCAGAGCACCACAGCCUUGAAUGGGGCCACUAGUCACUCCAGGGAAGACACACAGACAACAGGUGCGAAAGAUGGCUUUUCAACUGGGACCCUGAUUGGAAUCAUAGUUGGCGUCUUACUAGGCAUUGGAUUCAUUGCUGGGAUCAUCAUUGUGGUCGUGCGAAAAAUGUCGGGAAGGUACUCGCCCUAAAGAGCUGAAGAAUGUGCCCUCCUGCCAACAUGUUUAAAAAAGACUUUAUACCUCCCCUGUCCCUGAGCACAUGGGAGAAGAUGACCCAUGGAAAUGCCUGGCUCCCCCACUCAGAAUCCAUGGUGAUCCCUCCGCCUGCCAAGAGUAACCGCAGGAACGAUCAUCCACAGACUUGCUCCUCUAAAUAUUUUGUCUUUUGAGAAACUUUUUUUUUUAACAUACAAGUUUUGGAAAAGAUGACUUAGAAAACAAAAUGCAUAGGAAACGGAGCACACUCUAUAGAUUGAUUUGUCACUCAGACAGACAAUGUAAUUCCAUCGAGGGCAGAUGCCGCAGUCAUGCCUUUGUUCUAACCGUUCUCUGUUAUUGUUAAAAUGCAAAGGAAUCUGGAAAUAUUUAUACCAGUGGAGUCCUUGGGUCUAGUGCUAUGUCAGUAAAUGGCAUCAGCAUUUUGCAAUUUCUGGUCUGUUGAAAUGUACACAUUCCGGUCUAGUUUGGUCCAUCUUUAAAGCCUGGUCUGGUGUGAAUAAUCAAGUGGAAGAAUCUCAGCUGGAGCAAUAUGUAAAUCUCACAACAAGCUAACAAGCUACGGGGCAGCCUCCAGGCUUGCUUUCCCCUCGUUUCCAGCGAUGACUUGAUGACUCAAAGGUUUGCUCCUACUUGACCCUCUGCUUCCCUCAGAUGCUGGGGAGCCAGUGGUAAGGGGGUGGCCUUCUCAUUUCCAUGACGCAGGCCCUUCAGGUUGGCUGUUUUGAUCUAGACCAGUGGUUGCCAACCGGUGGUCCAUGAACCACUGGUGGUCCAUGAGGUCCAAAAGGUUGGCGACCGCUGAUCUCGACUAUGGAGACCUCAGCCCUGAUGGUGGCUCAGGAGGCUGCUGGCAGCCCGGCGAUACCAGAGGCUCACCUAUCCCAGACACUAAGAACCUUGGUGGUCCCCAAACAGAAAGAAGCCCUCCGUGUGCCUCUGGCAUGGGAGCCAGAACCUGCCGGGUUUCUAACUUUCCCUUCCUGCCUUAGAGGAAAUAAUCUUAUAAAAUGUUAAUUUUUAAGAAGCAGCUGGAUUUAAAAACAGAAGAUACUCCCAGUCUUCACGGGAUCCCACAUGUUUCUGUGGGGUUGUAGUUGAAAAAUCAGAAUCAAGGUGCCCAAGCUGAUGUUCUUGGUGUGGGCACCGCCCAGUUCAUGCCUUUGUUUCCCAGUAAUGAUGUAAGAGUUCAUCUUAGAUUUGAGGUGAUUUUGCUGUUUUAUUUGUGUCUUCCCUAUAUUCAGAAGUGUUCUUAGUGACAAAAGCAUAGGGUAAUAGUUAAAUUGGUUAUGUUGACUUCUCAAACUUCCUAAACCAUUUAAAUAACCUUGUUUUGACGCACUUUCUUGGGAUUCCUGCUGUUUCCUGAAAAAUGCCUACGGGUCAAACUUGUGAAAAGCUCACCAUCAGAUAGGAUUUCUGCAAAAUACUUCAAAAUCUUGUCCUUUCAGAAGGAGAUGCCGGACUCAAGGCUUUCUUGGCUAUCCCUCUCAGUGUCUGAAAAGUCUUUGGUGUUUCAGACAAGCAGAAUUAGAGUUUGCUGGGGAGUGGUCUGCCAUUUGGGGAGGUCAUGAGGAUCCAAAGGUACUGUUACCAGUGCACAGCUGACGAGGUAGAAUUGUGGGUGCCCGUGUGCCUUAAGUCAUGGCUAAAUAACGAUGUAGAGAAGAAUUGUUAGCCUAGACUGAUAGUUAAACAGCUACUUCAGAAAUGUACUAAACAAUUAGUUACUAUAGAUCUUACUCAGCAUCUGGUCUCUGGCCAUGCCAUAUGCAUAAGCACCUAUUAGCCAUUAUAGUGGCCUGCUGUAGUGUUUUAACUGUACCUGUUUGUACUCUGUCUUUGUUCUGGAAGUUCCUCAACAAUAGGAGGUUCUUGAACUCGAGUCCUUUCCAACGAUAAAGAGCCAGAAUAUGUCGUCAUUUUUACAGACUGUACUACAAAACAUGCCCCUGGUGGUAGAUGCUUUAGAAUGCACAGUGCGUACCCCCCUUUGUCUCCAGUCUUGUCUGAAAGAAUCAUUUUGUACUGGAUCCCAUUUAUACCGUUCAAGGGUAAAAAAAAGUUCUCUGAGUCACUGCAUUUAUCAAGUUCAUUCAGUUAGCCUCUUACUCAUCCAGUGCUUUUGGAAAAAGACCACAGGGGACCAAAGUGCCUACUAAAAUUGUAUCUCUGUUUCCUCCAGUUCAUUGUAAUUAUUUUGCUUUGUUUUAUUGGUUUCAUUGUUUAACAGAGGGUUACAUUGCUAUAGUGAAAUUGGCCUAAAAGGAAGCACAGAGAAUCAGAUAAGAAAACUGUUGUUCUAACUGGUAGGUGGCAGCAGCAUCCCCGCCAGCUGGCCCCCCUUGGUGUUUGUCACUGAACUGUGCUGUGGACACAUCAGAAGGAUGUGUCUUAAAAGGGGUCCAUUUACAAGUGACCAUGAAUUUGUGAAGACAGGGCAUCAUAUCAUAUUCUGAUUAUCUGGGCACAAGAGUGGGCAUUUCUUCAGGGGGUUGGUUCUCUUUUUAGUGCCUUUAGCCCAUUUGGUAUAAAACCAGGAUUCCUGAACUCAGGCCUGAGAUUAUCAUGAGGGCUUAGCAGGCCUCGUCCUUGGUACAUACUUGUUGUGUUACACUGGUAAGGAGUUGUUUUAACUAUAGUCGUCUUCCCUUUCAGUAGAUUUCUACUUGUAAAUUUUAUUCAGGGAUGAUUUCAUGGCACAUCGUCAGAAAUACUCACUUCUCUCUGUUCUCAGUGAUUUAGCUUUACUCACCCUGUUGUGUACUGAAGGACUUCCCACAGCACUGGCAGCACCUCCUCCUCCUGCGUGUGUCAUCAUAGCCAUCUGUGAUUAAGAGCCAGCCCCCAGCAUUCACCACAGGUUAUUACAGAAAUAAACGAUGUGUCCUCCCAUAUCCAUCUCUGCCACACCACUCCCGGUAGGGCUGGGGCCGGGCCAGCGUGUGCCUGUUGAGCAGCCCCCAAGUAGCUGCACACUUCCAGAAUCAACCUGUUGCUGUCCUAACAUUUGUCAUAUGGAUCAUCUCACCUUCUCUUUAACAUGGUCAAUUCAUGUAAGGUUGUGUUAUGUUGUCAUUUAUCUUCAGUUUUCUUAUUUUCUAGGAACUUCCUGUAGAAAAGCCCCCCACACAAAACAAACCUUAAUUGACUAAAUAAAGAUAAUGCAUGCUCAACUUAGGAUAAGCACUACGACAAAGGAUGCGAAAUCUACCCAGCUUGCAAGACCAGUUGAAGCUGUCUCACAAAUCCGCAGGCUUCUUGUUGCCCUGGUUAGAGUCAGGCAUCUGCUUCUUCGCUGGUGCCCAACACGUGCUGGGCACCCGGGUGAUUGAGAUGCCAGAGGUGCUGUAAGACGGGCUAGAUGAACUGGCCCAUCGUCACAGGACUGAUCACUCAGAUGUGAAUGUGGCCCUGGUUCUGGCACAUAGCAGAGGAAGGAGUGAUUUGAACCUAACCUUGCAAAGCAGGUUCUCUUUUUUAUCAGUAGUUUAUGUAGAUGUCAGGGAUGACAAUUCUAAUGCACUUGUUUGAAGAAGUUUUGGUCACACACCAGCUCUUGAUGCCUUUCUUCUAAGUUAAUUACAGACAGAGGCAUUUAGCUUCUCUCUGCCUGCUUUUUUUUUUUUUUUUUUUUUUUUUAAAUCACAAGCUGAUGGCCAGCAUAAUGGAGAGGAAACCGGAUUGGAUAUGGACUCCUUUUUAUGCCUCUUCCAGUUUCAUGUGUGUUUAUCCAGAUGGACAUCCUCUCGAAUAAAUAUGUGGCACUAAUUUAUAACUGUUAUAUAAUGGGAGGCUAUGUAGCAAUAUACCGAUGCCUACGAUGCAUCUCAGGCCUAGGAAGGUGUAUGUCUGCACUUAAGUAAAAAAGUAAAAAUAAAUUUACAUACCAGGCUUACACUGCAGUCUCUAAUAGAGAUUUAAAAACUACAAAUUGGCCUUUUCCUGGGUGUAUCAUUUCUCCAUACAUUAUAUAUGCUUUCACCCUAAUUAAUGACUGAGUUGGUGGGAAAUGGCUAGGUUAUUCAUGUGUUUUUUUUUUUUCUUUUGUUUUCAACUUUAAAAGUAAUCUACCUCUUAAAAUGUGUAGUUUAAUACUUGUUUGGUGAAUUUGUGCCAUUUUAAUCCUUUCACUAUCAUUCCCAUUUUGUUACAUUUCUGUUCUGGGGACUUUUGUGUUGAAAUAUUGUAUAAAGCAUUUGUAGCAGUUUAAAAAUAAAAUAUUUAAAAUUA
Myotis daubentonii (Daubenton's bat) is the source of this 4980-nucleotide RNA transcript. It is a transcript of the gene named podoplanin, with no coding region annotated. The record is from RefSeq and is a predicted model, not a curated record. NCBI's taxonomy places the organism in Eukaryota, Metazoa, Chordata, Mammalia, Chiroptera, Vespertilionidae.